This 680-nucleotide ribosomal RNA is filed under the name glacial ice bacterium MS-T10-09. RNAcentral's name for it is "bacterial SSU rRNA". It matches the Rfam family "Bacterial small subunit ribosomal RNA", at positions 40 to 716 of the family's 1533-position model. The record is from RNAcentral.
CGGCAGGCUUAACACAUGCAAGUCGAGCGGGGAGAUGUAGCUUGCUACAUUUCCUAGCGGCGGACGGGUGAGUAAUGCUUAGGAAUCUGCCUAUUAGUGGGGGACAACAUUCCGAAAGGAAUGCUAAUACCGCAUACGCCCUACGGGGGAAAGCAGGGGAUCUUCGGACCUUGCGCUAAUAGAUGAGCCUAAGUCAGAUUAGCUAGUUGGUGGGGUAAAGGCCUACCAAGGCGACGAUCUGUAGCGGGUCUGAGAGGAUGAUCCGCCACACUGGGACUGAGACACGGCCCAGACUCCUACGGGAGGCAGCAGUGGGGAAUAUUGGACAAUGGGCGAAAGCCUGAUCCAGCCAUGCCGCGUGUGUGAAGAAGGCCUUUUGGUUGUAAAGCACUUUAAGCGAGGAGGAGGCUACUUGGAUUAAUACUCUAGGAUAGUGGACGUUACUCGCAGAAUAAGCACCGGCUAACUCUGUGCCAGCAGCCGCGGUAAUACAGAGGGUGCGAGCGUUAAUCGGAUUUACUGGGCGUAAAGCGUGCGUAGGCGGCUUUUUAAGUCGGAUGUGAAAUCCCUGAGCUUAACUUAGGAAUUGCAUCCGAUACUGGGAAGCUAAGUAUGGGAAAGGAUGGUAGAAUUCCAGGUGUUACNGUGAAUGCGUAAAAUCUGGAAGGAAUACCGAUGGC